Long non-coding RNA from Zophobas morio, 494 nucleotides. RefSeq lists it as uncharacterized. The record is from RefSeq and is a predicted model, not a curated record. NCBI's taxonomy places the organism in Eukaryota, Metazoa, Arthropoda, Insecta, Coleoptera, Tenebrionidae. The transcript is spliced from 4 exons.
AGACGAGGGUGAGAUGGCAUUGGGUUUCGCCUGGCACACGAUUUCCUCUCCCACCCUUGCUUUUGAGCACGGAGGCGCAACUUUGUAAAUGUGGAACGUUUCCUUGAGGAAAAUUGCUUUAUCAAGUUCUUUACUAUCUCUUUUUGCCCUUUUUCCUUACUGUUUGUUAAAAAGAAAGAAAAAAAACUACGAUGUUAGUACACCUGAAGGUUUGGCUCGCUGUUUAGCUGACUCCGGAGCUGUUUUAUUUGGUGCUAGUUGGUGUGGAUUUUGUGAGAAGCAAAAAUCUCUUUUUGGAAGUGGGCAGCGCUUUAUAAAUUAUUUCGACUGUUCUUUAAACGGCACGCAGAGAGGCUUUAAAAGGGAAUGCUUAGAAAAGGGCAUUCGUGUUGUACCCUCCUGGCAAAUGGGCGACGGGACCAUUCUUCAUGGUUCUCAAACCUUAAUGUCACUAGCUCUACAUAGCAACUGCUGGAAAAAACGUUAAUAUUUCU